UUGGCCAAGGUCCCAUAGGGUGUCGGCAGCACUGUCACAGCCAGGGCUUCUGGCCCAAACUACACUGAUUUCUACCUUGGAUCUCCUGACCAGAAUCCCACACGACAGAUGCUGGGCCAGGCCCCGUGCUGGCCUAGGGUCGAGGAAGAGGAAGGCCCUCCAGCCUGGCGGCCUCUGAGGCUGGCGGAAAGAGGGAGGUGGUGUGGAGUCAGGCAGGCAGCACGCCUGGACACUGAACUUCCUCACGGAGCUCGCCAGGGAAGGGCAGGCAGAUGACAGACAGCGUGUGAGUUAAAAACAACCAAGCAAGCAAACCGAAGGAAUGUGGACUGGCCUCUUACUGGACUGAAGUGGUUGACCCGAGAUGGACCUCGCCGAGCCUGGGUCUCCUCCCGCAGUGAGUGGAUGAUCCAUCCUUCACACAAUCUCAAACCACGUCUUUCCAGUGGGAUUGAUUCUCAAUAUGGAUGUGUGAAUUAACCUAAGCCAAUGAGAGCCUUUCCUGGUAUUUUUGCCUCAUCUGUGGAAAAGGAGUGCUGUAUUUCCACUGUAGCUACCAAGCUGGGAGGAUGUAUGCCAGAUCUUUGCCAUUGUAAAGGAAGAACUUGCCUGAGAAUAAAGCCCAUGCAGGAGAAACCAGAGCCAAAGAUGGAGAGAGUCACA
Molecule: long non-coding RNA, 663 nt
Organism: Zalophus californianus (California sea lion)
Lineage: Eukaryota; Metazoa; Chordata; Mammalia; Carnivora; Otariidae
Exons: 3
Source: RefSeq, a predicted model, not a curated record